AGUGGAUGGGGAGCAACCUAGUUGUGCGUGUGUAAAGGUAGUGCCAAGAAAAGCGAUGAUCAUGUUGAAAAUCAAUUCCCGGUACCCGAAACCGACACAGGUGGGCAAGUAGAGAAUACUAAGGGGCGCGAGGUAACUCUCUCCAAGGAACUCGGCAAAAUGACCCCGUAACUUAGGGAGAAGGGGUGCCACCGAGAGGUGGUCGCAGUGAAGAGGCCCAGGCGACUGUUUAGCAAAAACAUAGGUCUCUGCAAACUCGAAAGAGGAGGUAUAGGGGCUGACGCCUGCCCAGUGCCGGAAGGUUAAAGAAGUUGGUCAGUUUUAGGAUGAAGCUAGCGACUGAAGCCCCGGUGAACGGCGGCCGUAACUAUAACGGUCCUAAGGUAGCGAAAUUCCUUGUCGGGUAAGUUCCGACCCGCACGAAAGGCGUAACGAUCUGGGCGCUGUCUCGGAGAGAGGCUCGGCGAAAUAGGAUUGUCUGUGAAGAUACGGACUACCUGCAUUUGGACAGAAAGACCCUAUGAAGCUUUACUAUAGCUUGGAAUUGUGUUCGGGCUUCCUGUGCGCAGGAUAGGUGGGAGGCGUGGAAGGUAUUCUUGUGGGGAUACUGGAGCCAACGGUGAGAUACCACUCUCAGGAGGCUAGAAUUCUAACUUAAUUAAGGACAGUUUCAGGUGGGUAGUUUGACUGGGGCGGUCGCCUCCAAAAAGGUAACGGAGGCGUACAAAGGUUCCCUCAGACUGGUUGGAAAUCAGUCGAAGAGUGCAAAGGCAGAAGGGAGCUUGACUGCGAGAAGUACAGUUCGAGCAGGGUGGAAACACGGUCUUAGUGAUCCGACGGUGCUGUGUGGAAGGGCCGUCGCUCAACGGAUAAAAGUUACUCUAGGAUAACAGGCUGAUCUCCCCCAAGAGUUCACAUCGACGGGGAGGUUUGGCACCUCGAUGUCGGCUCAUCGCAACCUGGGGCGGAAGUACGUCCCAAGGGUUGGGCUGUUCGCCCAUUAAAGCCGUACGUGAGCUGGGUUCAGAACGUCGUGAGACAGUUCGGUCCAUAUCCGAUGUAGGCGUGAGAAUAUUGAGAGGAGCCUUCCUUAGUACGAGAGGACCGGGAAGGACGCACCGCUGGUGUACCUGUUAUGAUGCCAAUUGUAAACGCAGGGUAGCCAAGUGCGGAGAGGAUAACCGCUGAAAGCAUCUAAGUGGGAAGCCCACCUCAAGAUGAGUAUUCUGGUGUAAGGUCACGGGAAGACGACCCGUAAAUAGGCACGAGGUGGAAGUGCAGAGAUGUAUGAAGCCGAAGUGUACUAAUAGACCGUCGGCUUGAGC
RNAcentral lists this ribosomal RNA (1325 nucleotides) under metagenome. RNAcentral describes it as "bacterial LSU rRNA". It matches the Rfam family "Bacterial large subunit ribosomal RNA", at positions 1561 to 2925 of the family's 2925-position model. The record is from RNAcentral.